Molecule: ribosomal RNA, 458 nt
Filed under: uncultured bacterium
Lineage: Bacteria
Description: bacterial SSU rRNA
Rfam family: Bacterial small subunit ribosomal RNA
Source: RNAcentral
AUUGAACGCUGGCGGCAUGCCUUACACAUGCAAGUCGAACGGCAGCACGGGGGCAACCCUGGUGGCGAGUGGCGAACGGGUGAGUAACGCAUCGGAAUGUACCCAGUAGUGGGGGGAUAACUAGUCGAAAGAUUAGCUAAUACCGCAUACGCACUGAGGUGGAAAGCGGGGGAUCGCAAGACCUCGCGCUAUUGGAGCAGCCGAUGUCCGAUUAGGUAGUUGGUGGGGUAAAGGCCUACCAAGCCUGCGAUCGGUAACUGGUCUGAGAGGACGACCAGUCACACUGGGACUGAGACACGGCCCAGACUCCUACGGGAGGCAGCAGUGGGGAAUUUUGGACAAUGGGCGCAAGCCUGAUCCAGCAAUGCCGCGUGUGUGAAGAAGGCCUCGGUUGUAAGCACUUUAUCUAGGAACGAAAAGACGUUAGGAGUUAAUACUCUGACGUGCUGACGGUACCU